RNAcentral lists this unclassified non-coding RNA (247 nucleotides) under uncultured Hanseniaspora. Its description in RNAcentral is "sequence contains ITS2". Lineage: Eukaryota; Fungi; Ascomycota; Saccharomycetes; Saccharomycodales; Saccharomycodaceae. The record is from RNAcentral.
UUUUUGGUUGUGGGCGAUACUCAGGGUUAGCUUGAAAUUGGAGACUGUUUCAGUCUUUUUUAAUUCAACACUUAGCUUCUUUGGAGACGCUGUUCUCGCUGUGAUGUAUUUAUGGAUUUAUUCGUUUUACUUUACAAGGGAAAUGGUAACGUACCUUAGGCAAAGGGUUGCUUUUAAUAUUCAUCAAGUUUGACCUCGUAUCAGGUAGGAUUACCCGCUGAACUUAAGCAUAUCAAUAAGGGGAGGA